Hordeum vulgare subsp. vulgare (domesticated barley) is the source of this 2476-nucleotide long non-coding RNA. RefSeq lists it as uncharacterized. Lineage: Eukaryota; Viridiplantae; Streptophyta; Magnoliopsida; Poales; Poaceae. The transcript is spliced from 3 exons. The record is from RefSeq and is a predicted model, not a curated record.
UGUUGUAAUUUGGGUAACAAAUCACAAACUAUGUCGUGUUUUAGGCCUAAAAAUCGCAAACUAUGUUGUAAUUUGGGUAACAUAGGAGGAAUAUAUAUCUUUGCCUUUUUAUUCACCAUGGACCAAUGAUGAAACUCGAAACCUAGCAUAUUGAAGGUGUGCCUAGCUUUGGUUGUAAGUGUUGUGGAAUAAGUGGAAUUCCGUAACUCAUGCAACCAAAGCUGGCAUACCUUCUAUGUAUGGCAUAAGGUUCAUGUUGCAUCAUGGUAAAGCGACAACAUUUUUGGGUUUGCCUUAUGUAUUGUUCUCGAUCUCAGUUUGCAACCCAUUCUUAUGAAGUCACUGAUCGCGGUUGAGUUGUCACUGGAAGAUAGUUAUUUGUUUCUAACCACUAAUUUGUACUUAUGCUCUUUGUCCUCGUUGGUCAAAACUUGAUUAGAGUGAUGGAUUUGACAGUUCUUGAUAGAGCUUUGGGCAUAUGAAGAGCAUCGACAAAAGUAACAAGAUAUGCUCUGUUUUUCAACAGUACCUAAUUCUUGGAGAUCAUGGGAGAGUCAUCAUAACGAAUUCCCUUUCUUCAAGAAGCUAGGAGGGUUGGGUUUCUAAACUUCUUGAUAAAGUUAAGUAGUGUUGUCUUAUAUGAAGUUGCCUGAUUUUUUAGGAGAGUAUUUUGUGCGGUGUGGCCAUAUUUUCUCAACAGUGACGCGUCUCGAUUUUGCUAGCAUCGCACAAAAAGAACAGAUAGUUCAGCCUCUAGUAGGUACAAUGUACAAGCUCAUAGAGCAGAUCUAAGAAACUUAAAGUGGUGCUUUAGUCUGCAUUAACUUCCUUUGCUCCGCUCUUAAACCCUUUGCACAAGCGUUUGCUUUUGACCACUAGAAGUGGACAACGUCUCGGGUGUCCAUUUAUCUUUUAUUGUUUGCUUAUUUCAUAGUUCUUGAAACUGUGUUCUAAUGUCAUCGUAUUUGCCCUAUCAUAUUUUAGUUGGAGAAGGUGGAACCAAGACCACAUGGCAUGUUUAUGCAUUUGCAACACAUUACUUGUGGAUUCAUUGUCAUCUCUAGUGUACCAAAUGCAUGGUGACAAUGGAGUUCUUUAGUUGGCCUGUUAUCUGAAUCUCGUACACCAACUGGAGACGUUGCACUUGGAUAUGAGUGCCAUUUUGUUGGUAUAGUUAUGACCUGUACUAGGAUUGCUUCUAAUGGACUGGUUGUUAAUGUCCAAAUGCACAUGAUGUAUAGGCCCCAUGAGGUUUCGGCGCCUGAUUAUUUUGUGCAUGAGGAAGGCCCCCACAUGCAUCGCCACGAUUAGCUCAGGAGCAUCUACAUCAGCAGAUUCCGGUGUUACACGGCUUACACAUGCUUGUGUGUUGUAUCUUGGAAAAUGCUUGUGUUCUUGAGCACAUGAUAUUACAACCCUAAACCGUGACUUGGAUAUGCUUUGAUCCGGGCAAUGAGAUUGAGAAUAUCAACGUCGAAGGAAGAUUUCUACCGGGGGUUUGCCAGUGGGAAUGACUUACCUUAGAGCACUUCGCAAAAUGGAGACACCAUCAUCAUGUCAAUUGUGCAAGUCAAGGUGCGCCAACAGCCUUGCAAUGGGACGCUGUUCGGCAUCUAUUUCAAGCCGAGUUUUGUUCCUACAAUGAUCGUCUCAUGCAAUGUGAGAUUGGAAUUCAAUGAGAUGACCGUAGACAUUGUGACCUUCGAGGCUCCUCGGGGUCCUACACUUUGGAGGUCAAGAAAGGAUGAAAGAUGUCUGGGAUGGGAGGAUAUGGAUGGGAUCAUUUCGUCACCCACAUGCGUCUCACUGGGGAUGAAUUGAUCAAAUUCGUCUUCAGAGGAUGAAGACCAAAGCUGGUUGUCAUCCAUCUCAACACAAAUGAAGAUGAUGAUGAGGACCCACUUGAUGAAGCCCAUUAUGCCCAAAGAAUGAGGUUGGGCAAGGAGGAAAUGGGAAACCUCUGGUACAUACUUCCCCCACGUGAUGACUACGUCGAGGUGUCAUUCUUGACCCGUCUGACAAGGAGCAAUUUUACCCACCAUGUCAUGCUAUGUUACUUAGUGUAGUAAUUUGCUUAGUGUGGAAUCUGUUGAUGUGCUUAGCGUGUGUAGAAUAUGAUUUAUAUGCUUUGUGUAGAAUCAUAAUUGAUAUGCUUAGUGUAGAAUCUGAUUGAUAUACAUAUUGUAGAAUCGAUCUUAUUGAUAUGCUUAGUGUAGAAUCCGAUGAUAUGCUUUGUGCAAGGCUACUUAAUUGAUAUAUUUUUUUCAUAAAUUGCUUAAGAGGCUAUCUUUGUGUUGUGGCAUCGAGGCUGAUGAAGCAUGUUAUGCUGGAGUAGGCCUUACACGGGCUACAUCACCACCUGUGCGUACGCAGUAGACACGGACGGUCGCACUAUCUUAAACUCGGUGGGGAUGGAUCAUCAUCCUCAUUGGCAAGAAUCUUCAGGUUGGACUAGCGGUCUUAGUCACUAUCAGAA